This 488-nucleotide ribosomal RNA is filed under the name Pseudocercospora macadamiae. Its description in RNAcentral is "eukaryotic LSU rRNA". The stretch from base 153 to 306 matches the Rfam family "5.8S ribosomal RNA". The record is from RNAcentral. Lineage: Eukaryota; Fungi; Ascomycota; Dothideomycetes; Mycosphaerellales; Mycosphaerellaceae.
AUUACUGAGUGAGGGCUCACGCCCGACCUCCAACCCUUUGUGAACACAUCUUGUUGCUUCGGGGGCGACCCUGCCGGCACUACGUCGCCGGGCGCCCCCGAAGGUCUCCAAACACUGCAUCUUUGCGUCGGAGUUUAAAACAAAUUAAACAAAACUUUCAACAACGGAUCUCUUGGUUCUGGCAUCGAUGAAGAACGCAGCGAAAUGCGAUAAGUAAUGUGAAUUGCAGAAUUCAGUGAAUCAUCGAAUCUUUGAACGCACAUUGCGCCCUUUGGUAUUCCGAAGGGCAUGCCUGUUCGAGCGUCAUUUCACCACUCAAGCCUGGCUUGGUAUUGGGCGUCGCGGCUCCGCGCGCCUUAAAGUCUCCGGCUGAGCCAUUCGUCUCUAAGCGUUGUGGAUUUUCUAAUUCGCUUCGGAGUGCGGGUGGCCGCGGCCGUUAAAUCUUUAUUCAAAGGUUGACCUCGGAUCAGGUAGGGAUACCCGCUGAA